CGGUGAUAAACCGGAGGAAGGUGGGGACGACGUCAAGUCAUCAUGGCCCUUACGAGUAGGGCUACACACGUGCUACAAUGGCGCAUACAGAGGGCGGCCAACUUGCGAAAGUGAGCGAUCCCAAAAAGUGCGUCGUAGUCCGGAUUGGAGUCUGCAACUCGACUCCAUGAAGUCGGAAUCGCUAGUAAUCGUGGAUCAGAAUGCCACGGUGAAUACGUUCCCG
Molecule: ribosomal RNA, 223 nt
Filed under: Vibrio parahaemolyticus
Lineage: Bacteria; Pseudomonadati; Pseudomonadota; Gammaproteobacteria; Vibrionales; Vibrionaceae
Description: partial 16S ribosomal RNA
Rfam family: Bacterial small subunit ribosomal RNA
Source: RNAcentral